Molecule: transfer RNA, 69 nt
Filed under: Odontolabis cuvera fallaciosa
Lineage: Eukaryota; Metazoa; Arthropoda; Insecta; Coleoptera; Lucanidae
Description: tRNA-Met
Rfam family: tRNA
About the family: Transfer RNA (tRNA) molecules are approximately 80 nucleotides in length. Their secondary structure includes four short double-helical elements and three loops (D, anti-codon, and T loops).
Source: RNAcentral
AAACAGGUAAGCUAAUUAAGCUAUUGGGUUCAUACCCCAUCAAUAAAGGUCCUAAUCCUUUCCUAUUUA